GACGUAGGGCGCGAGCGUUGUCCGGAUUUAUUGGGCGUAAAGAGCUCGUAGGCGGCUCGGUAAGUCAGGUGUGAAAACUCUAGGCUCAACCUAGAGACGCCACCUGAUACUGCUGUGGCUAGAGUCCGGUAGGGGAGCAUGGAAUUCCUGGUGUAGCGGUGAAAUGCGCAGAUAUCAGGAGGAACACCAGUGGCGAAGGCGGUGCUCUGGGCCGGAACUGACGCUGAGGAGCGAAAGCGUGGGGAGCAAACAGG
This 254-nucleotide ribosomal RNA is filed under the name uncultured bacterium. RNAcentral's name for it is "partial 16S ribosomal RNA". It matches the Rfam family "Bacterial small subunit ribosomal RNA", at positions 524 to 776 of the family's 1533-position model. The record is from RNAcentral.